RNAcentral lists this ribosomal RNA (475 nucleotides) under uncultured bacterium. RNAcentral's name for it is "bacterial SSU rRNA". It matches the Rfam family "Bacterial small subunit ribosomal RNA", at positions 28 to 507 of the family's 1533-position model. The record is from RNAcentral.
GAUGAACGCUAGCGGCAGGCUUAACACAUGCAAGUCGAGGGGCAGCAUGAGACGGAGAUUCGUCGAAGUCUUGAUGGCGACCGGCGCAAGGGUGCGUAACGCGUGAGCAACUUGCCCGUUUCUGGGGAAUAACCGGUGGAAACGCCGACUAAUACCCCAUAGUAUUGAGUUUAGGCAUCUUUACUCAAUUAAAGAAUUUCGGAAACGGAUAGGCUCGCGUGACAUUAGCUGGAUGGCGGGGUAACGGCCCACCAUGGCGACGAUCAGUAGCCGGAUUGAGAGAUUGAUCGGCCACAUUGGGACUGAGACACGGCCCAGACUCCUACGGGAGGCAGCAGUCGGGAAUAUUGCACAAUGAGGGAAACCUUGAUGCAGCGACGCCGCGUAAAGGAAGAAGGUCUUCGGAUUGUAAACUUUGUCGACAGGGAAGAAGAAAGUGACAGUACCUGUGGAGGAAGCCCCGGCUAACUACGUG